GAGGAUAUGGCGGAAUUGGUAGACGCGAUGGACUUAAAAUCCAUUGGUCUUUUGAUCUUGAGGGUUCAAGUCCCUCUAUCCUCA
This 84-nucleotide transfer RNA is filed under the name Lotharella vacuolata. RNAcentral's name for it is "tRNA-Leu". It matches the Rfam family "tRNA". Rfam says of the family: Transfer RNA (tRNA) molecules are approximately 80 nucleotides in length. Their secondary structure includes four short double-helical elements and three loops (D, anti-codon, and T loops). Lineage: Eukaryota; Cercozoa; Chlorarachniophyceae. The record is from RNAcentral.